CCUACGGGUGGCAGCAGUGAGGAAUAUUGGUCAAUGGGCGCGAGCCUGAACCAGCCAAGUAGCGUGAAGGAUGACUGCCCUACGGGUUGUAAACUUCUUUUAUAAAGGAAUAAAGUGAGGUACGUGUGCCUCUUUGUAUGUACUUUAUGAAUAAGGAUCGGCUAACUCCGUGCCAGCAGCCGCGGUAAUACGGAGGAUCCGAGCGUUAUCCGGAUUUAAUGGGUUUAAAGGGAGCGUAGAUGGGUUGUUAAGUCAGUUGUGAAAGUUUGCGGCUCAACCGUAAAAUUGCAAUUGAUACUGGCAGUCUUGAGUACGGUUGAGGUAGGCGGAAUUCGUGGUGUAGCGGUGAAAUGCUUAGAUAUCACGAGGAACUCCGAUUGCGAAGGCAGCUUACUAGACUGCCACUGACAUUGAUGCGCGAAAGUGUGGGUAGCAAACAGGAUUAGAUACCCCAGUAGUC
Molecule: ribosomal RNA, 460 nt
Filed under: uncultured bacterium
Lineage: Bacteria
Description: partial 16S ribosomal RNA
Rfam family: Bacterial small subunit ribosomal RNA
Source: RNAcentral